GGGGAAUUUUGGACGAUGGGCGCAAGCCUGAUCCAGCGACGCCGCGUGGAGGACGAAGGCCUUCGGGUUGUAAACUCCUUUUGGAGGGGAAGAAUAAAUUGACGGUACCCUCAGAAAAAGCCACGGCUAACUACGUGCCAGCAGCCGCGGUAAUACGUAGGUGGCGAGCGUUACUCGGAAUUACUAGGCGUAAAGCGUAUGUAGGUGGUUAGAUAAGUCUAUGGUGAAAUUUCCUGGCUUAACUGGGAAGGGACAUAGAUACUAUCUGGCUUGAGUGUGGGAGGGGGAGACGGAAUUCCUGGUGUAGCGGUGAAAUGCGUAGAUAUCAGGAGGAACACCGAUGGCGAAAGCAGUCUCCUGGCCCAAUACUGACACUGAGGUACGAAAGCUAGGGUAGCAAACA
RNAcentral lists this ribosomal RNA (403 nucleotides) under uncultured bacterium. Its description in RNAcentral is "bacterial SSU rRNA". It matches the Rfam family "Bacterial small subunit ribosomal RNA", at positions 356 to 774 of the family's 1533-position model. The record is from RNAcentral.